UUUCUGUAUAUUGCUUUAGUGUAUGAAAAGAGCAGCAAAUGAAGGUCCUGAUAAUUUGAUGCCAAACUGCUAGAAAAGAGCCACUCCAAUGGGUUUUCUAUGCCUGCCCUUGAAUCACCUACAACACCAAGGAAACAGGUUCAAUCCAAAAGAGAAGGAACAAAGAAGAUUACAUUCUAUGAAGAGAAACAUCAUAAAGAAGGAAAAUAAGAAAAAAUACUUGUCUACCAUACGUGGUAUUUGUAGAAAAUUCACAAAAUUGAUAAGUUGAAACCCACAAGUGACAAAGUAAUUACUUUAGAAACUAGAAAUCACAACAUAAGUAGCAUCGAAACCAACAAUCUUCUCUAUAAACAGCACAAAGGAAAACCAAUAGAAACGCAAAAUUGAACAAACCAAUGGCAAUUUUGAAUAGUUCAAUGACCAAAACAAAAAUUUACUAAUAAUUUUAUGACUUUGAAUGCAGUUUACCUUUUAUUUAUUUAGGCUAAAUCAAUAUUUAAGACUUAAAAGUAAUAAAAGGUAGUACAUACGCAAGUUGACUAUGGACCGACAAGCCAGCUUCUAUUCAGUUUUGAGUAAAAUCUAAGUCGUUUGCAGAAAUGUAGAGCUGAUCUAGGUUCAAGGCCAGCACUUGAUGAUCUUAAUGCAAUAUAUUAUAAUCAAUAUUCUAUUUUUUUUUACAAUUUAAUAUUUAUCAUAAAUCAUCAUCACCAUAAAAAAAUUUCGUCGUCUUCAAUCAUAUAUAAAUGUAUUAGUAUCGAAACUUAAAUCAUUGCAUCUACACUCUAAAAAUUUAUGUCUGCACAAGUAUACUCACACUCAAGUUCGAGAACAUAGUCAACAGUAUCAUAUAGAGAGAUAUAGAAGUAUUUACUAACCAGAGACCCAGCGAGGAAAGCUGUGGGAUUUCUUACUCCGAGUGAAAAUCGCUCUACUGCAGAUCAAAAAACAGGACCACUAGAAAACGUAAAUUUUAAUUCCACAAACAUGUACAUUAAAACUUCAAACAUAAUUCAAGAAAUUUGUCUAAUAUGAUUAAAAAUAUUCUAAAAUGUUAAAAAUAUAUAUGUUCGAUACGGGUAUAUCCAGAUUUUCUUAAAGCUUCUUUAUGUAUUUUAGGUAUCUUUAAAGAGACUAUCUCUAUAUGACUAUAUCCAUAGCCGGAUAUAUGUCAGACAUGAAUAUCAUAUCAAAUAGCACUUCACAAUAUGCAAAAAAAAAAAAAGAGAGCAGAGUAAAGAAGCUCUUGUAACUCACUGAAGCCUAUGAGAUUGCCAUAUUUUUGAACAGCGCAUUGCGAAACCUUUUCUUCGCCGAUUCCUAACUGUAGUCAUCAUCAACAUUGAGAAAAGAUAUACAUGAUUAUUGUGCAAAUGCAGGAAAAGUACGUGCUCAGAAUAGAUGCAUAUAAAAUCAUGUCUAUAUAAAACUUGUUUCAGAAUAAAAAAAUUAUGUAUAUAUAACAUUUGCAAAAAAUCCAUUGAAGUAAGAGAAAAUCAAGUAGUAACUUUUCAAUCUAUAUGGGAGAGUAACUUUCCCACCUUUUAUCAUGGGAAUCACAUUUUCAUAUUUAUAAGAAAAUAACUUACAAGGAAAAAUUAAAUUCCAAGAAAAGUAAAUAAAAUUUGACAUAUUAAAUGUUGAAACCACUUUUCAACUAAUUAAAUUUCCAAGAAUGUGACCAUUUUCGAUCGCACCGAAGGCUACCUUAAAUAAUCAAUUUAGAUUUAAGGGAUUAAUCAUAUUAAGCUGUAACAUUUGAAAAUUAAUAGGGAUCAAGAACAUAAAUAAUAAACUAUUUAAUUAAGAGAGGUGAAUAACAAUUAAGUUAUAAUAAGUAACAAAAAGUUAAAUAGUUGGCGUAAAAUUAGUUACAGAAUGAAAAUAAUAAUAAAAUAUUUAAUUAACGCAAACCAUAUGGAAGAUAAUAGAAUGGUGCACCAAUGUUUUAUAUAUAAUCAUGCACACAUGAAGUCAUAUAAAGAGACAUUUGUCACAAAAUUAGAGAGUUCCUAGUCCCCAUUUAGUGGGGUUUGAACAUACUUUUAAAGACGCGGUUGUAGAGUAGCUGUAGUAUCCAAUGUUUGAUAAUUGCUUUGAAAGAAACAAGGAAGCAGACUUUGUAGGUAGACUCAUUCAACAACUAUUACUGUUACUAAGAUCUCAUGUUAGUAUGUAAAAUGAGAAAACAUUGCUUUACUGAUCAAAAUAAGGCUCUUAGAGGAGAUACAACAAACACAUGGAGGACUCCUUUAUUUUUUUGGACUUUACUUGCCUUUCCUUUUAUUCAAAAACUGGGAAACUAAAGGGAAAAAAGUAGCAGCAGAAAAUGUUGAAUUUGUUUACCCUACAUGGAUCCACUGACCAUUACUAAAUCAAGUCAAUUGCAGCAUUAAGCCCCUAAUCUUUUUGGAGGCUACUACUUUCUUACUAAUUUUACUCUUUCUCUUGUUUUCAGCUGCCAAAGCACAUGCUCAUCCAUUAAAUUAACCAACGUUUUGUUUUGUUUUAUCAGUCUAAUUGUUGUUUUAGUCCAAGCUUUAUUGUUAUUUAGCAGGUUACUCACACACAUAUAAGCACAUGCAGCAGUCUCCUAAGCAAUAUUUAUGCCCUCAACAAUGGGGUUGGAUGAUAUAACAAGAAAAGUAAUUAAUGACAUAUCAAGAAAACUGAACCUUCAUUUACCUAUAGUUGCGGCAGUGGAGAGCGACGAUGACGCAGCAGUGAGGACGGCGGACGGCGACGAGUAGGUGGUCGGGUAGCCUCAGGAGCUUCGGAUGCUUAGGGAUUUUGGGGAAAAUUUAGGGAUCAAGGGAAAUGUAGUGAAUUGGGGAAAAUCUAUUAAAGG
RNAcentral lists this long non-coding RNA (2851 nucleotides) under Gossypium barbadense (sea-island cotton). Its description in RNAcentral is "long non-coding RNA (GBAR_LNC007429)". The record is from RNAcentral. Lineage: Eukaryota; Viridiplantae; Streptophyta; Magnoliopsida; Malvales; Malvaceae.